CAAGACCUUGCGCUUUUGGAGCGGCCGAUGUCUGAUUAGCUAGUUGGUGAGGUAAAGGCUUACCAAGGCUUCGAUCAGUAGCUGGUCUGAGAGGACGACCAGCCACACUGGGACUGAGACACGGCCCAGACUCCUACGGGAGGCAGCAGUGGGGAAUUUUGGACAAUGGGGGAAACCCUGAUCCAGCCAUGCCGCGUGAGUGAAGAAGGCCUUCGGGUUGUAAAGCUCUUUCAGCCGGAACGAAACGGUCACGGCUAAUACCCGUGAUCACUGACGGUACCGGAAGAAGAAGCACCGGCUAACUACGUGCCAGCAGCCGCGGUAAUACGUAGGGUGCGAGCGUUAAUCGGAAUUACUGGGCGUAAAGCGUGCGCAGGCGGUUUUGUAAGUCAGAUGUGAAAUCCCCGGGCUUAACCUGGGAACU
This 424-nucleotide ribosomal RNA is filed under the name uncultured beta proteobacterium. RNAcentral describes it as "bacterial SSU rRNA". It matches the Rfam family "Bacterial small subunit ribosomal RNA", at positions 207 to 622 of the family's 1533-position model. The record is from RNAcentral. Lineage: Bacteria; Pseudomonadati; Pseudomonadota; Betaproteobacteria.